AUUGCUAUAAAAUUGAAUUUUGCUAAAAAUGAUCUAAAAUUUUGCAUGGAAUGUUUCUAUCAAUAAACAAUCUUACAUAUAAAUUUUGGUCCAAAAAUUCAAAAGGAUGCACCUUGGUUCUUCAUUUUUUUCACAUUGCAUCUUUAUUUUGGAACCAUCUAGGUAGAUCUCUCAGAAACCAUCCAACCCCAUGAACCAAAUGUGACAUGUUUUUUUUGUUUGAACUUAAAUUAUUUUUUUAUGGGUGUUCUAUAGCAAUAGGGCAGUGUCCACACCAAAUUUGACAAUGUUUUGAGAAAAAUUGAAUUUUAUAGAAUUUUUAUAGCACAGAAACCACACAUAAUGACAGUUAAUCAUAGAAAUUAGGGU
Molecule: long non-coding RNA, 369 nt
Filed under: Brachypodium distachyon (stiff brome)
Lineage: Eukaryota; Viridiplantae; Streptophyta; Magnoliopsida; Poales; Poaceae
Description: long non-coding RNA (BDIS_LNC004325)
Source: RNAcentral